Molecule: transfer RNA, 85 nt
Filed under: Felis catus (domestic cat)
Lineage: Eukaryota; Metazoa; Chordata; Mammalia; Carnivora; Felidae
Rfam family: tRNA
About the family: Transfer RNA (tRNA) molecules are approximately 80 nucleotides in length. Their secondary structure includes four short double-helical elements and three loops (D, anti-codon, and T loops).
Source: Rfam by way of RNAcentral
GCCUGGGUGGCUCAGUUGGUUGAGCAUCUGACUUCGGCUCAGGUCAUGAUCUCGCAGUUUGUGGGUUUGAGCCCCACGUCGGGUU